AGUGUGGCUCAAUGGCAGAGCAGCUGAUUUGUAAUCAGCAGGUUGAUGGUUCGACUCCAUUCACU
Molecule: transfer RNA, 65 nt
Filed under: pig gut metagenome
Rfam family: tRNA
About the family: Transfer RNA (tRNA) molecules are approximately 80 nucleotides in length. Their secondary structure includes four short double-helical elements and three loops (D, anti-codon, and T loops).
Source: RNAcentral